Molecule: non-coding RNA, 768 nt
Organism: Drosophila suzukii
Lineage: Eukaryota; Metazoa; Arthropoda; Insecta; Diptera; Drosophilidae
Source: RefSeq, a predicted model, not a curated record
AUUCAUUCUUUUUUUUAACGAAAUUGUCUUUAAUGACGUUUUCUUUCCAGAAAUAUUUAACAGGGGGUUGUAUCUUAUUUUUAAUUUUAAACUUAACACUACGAAAAAGUGUACGUUAAAAAGUUUGCGUACAGCUGUUUAAAGUCAAGUGGAAUGCAACAUUGUGCGACUACCGUUAAGAUUUCUGGCGCCGAUCUAUCUUCUGCAGAUUGUCUAUGCAUAACACAUAUUUCAUAAAAAUUGUUGGCAAGCAACCAGGAGGUAUUUGAUACAGUAAAAUCUAUAAUUUAAAAGCCAAGGCAAAAAAGCAGUCUGCUGUUCAAUUCAGCGGCACUUCAACGUGAAAAAUACUUGCCCGAAUCCAACUGAUCUGUACGAGGGUGUUCAAUAUAGAACCACGAAACGAAGUUGAUGAAAAGUGGGCUCUUACAUUUGAGUAGCGUUAUAAUUUCCGGUCGACGACUGCUACACUUAGCACAAUUAUUUAAAAAUUUAAAACGGUCUCUUUUUAUUUUUGUCAGAGUAUAAAUUUAAUCAAAACAUUCUCUAAUCAAAGCGAAGAUACCAAGGACGACCUACUCUUUGAUGUCAUUCACUCUGUUCUCAUCCCUAGCAAGAGAGGAAAAAGAGGAUCUUCGGGGAACUUGAAGUUAAGUAUACUGCCUAUAUUAAAGGGAUUGCUGCCCUAGAUUUUGGAAAAUAAAUGCCAUCAAAUUUAGAAAGAAAAUUAUUUAUUUCGAGAAAACUAUUUCUAAAAUCUAGGAAGAA